GACGAACGCUGGCGGCAGGCCUAACACAUGCAAGUCGAGCGAAGCCUUCGGGCUUAGCGGCGGACGGGUGAGUAACGCGUGGGAACGUGCCCUUUGGUACGGAAUAGCCCCGGGAAACUGGGAGUAAUACCGCAUGUGGUCGAGAGACGAAAGAUUUAUCGCCAAAGGAUCGGCCCGCGUUGGAUUAGGUAGUUGGUGGGUAAUGGCCUACCAAGCCGACGAUCCAUAGCUGGUUUGAGAGGAUGAUCAGCCACACUGGGACUGAGACACGGCCCAGACUCCUACGGGAGGCAGCAGUGGGGAAUCUUAGACAAUGGGGGAAACCCUGAUCUAGCCAUGCCGCGUGAUCGAUGAAGGCCUUAGGGUUGUAAAGAUCUUUCAGUGGGGAAGAUAAUGACCGUACCCACAGAAGAAGCCCCGGCUAACUCCGUGCCAGCCGCCGCAGUAA
RNAcentral lists this ribosomal RNA (448 nucleotides) under uncultured bacterium. Its description in RNAcentral is "partial 16S ribosomal RNA". It matches the Rfam family "Bacterial small subunit ribosomal RNA", at positions 28 to 523 of the family's 1533-position model. The record is from RNAcentral.